RNAcentral lists this long non-coding RNA (686 nucleotides) under Monodelphis domestica (gray short-tailed opossum). RNAcentral's name for it is "lncRNA (ENSMODG00000037826.1)". The record is from RNAcentral. Lineage: Eukaryota; Metazoa; Chordata; Mammalia; Didelphimorphia; Didelphidae.
GGAAAUUAAUGAUGUACCUCUCAACUGGGAAAUGGCAAGCUCUUGCUAGAUUCAGCUCCUAAAAGCUCCCAUUGUUAAGUUUUCCAUGUAAAAAUUCUCACCUCAGAAAUGAGCAAGGACUAUAAAUUAGGACAUUAUUUCAUAUUAGGACAUUAGACUUUAGAAAGUGGGGAAAAGAUAGUAAUGCAGUUAAAUCUUAAAAAUAUGUUGUACAUAUAUUUUGUUUUUCAGAGAAUCUGUUCUUAAACAUUUAUCAGCAUACCCCUGGAAAUGGCUUAAGAAAUUGAGGUAUAUGCAAAGAAUGGGAUUUCACACAAUAUAAAAAAAUAGCAAAUAUGAAGAAUUAAAGAAACAUGGGGUGACUUUGUAGAAAUAUAUAGAGUAAUGUGAGUAAAAGUAAUAGAAUACGCAUAAUUACUAAAAUAAUGGACAUUCUAAGACUGUAAACUGAAACCAAAUUCUAUAUAAAGAUAAUAACUUAUCUUUGCCCUAGAGAAUGAAGAAAUGCACCAUCCUCUAUUUCCGGGAGAAGAGGGAGAUUAUGGAUAUAAGACAUUGAUGACAUCUUCGAACAUAGUUAGGAGAUGAGCGAAAAUAGAGUCGUCAAUAAACAGACAUAUUUUCUAAUCCCAAUAGAAGCAGCAGAAGAGGAUGUUUCCUGCAAAUAUGAAGAAAUUGAGGUCUGA